RNAcentral lists this ribosomal RNA (377 nucleotides) under uncultured bacterium. Its description in RNAcentral is "bacterial SSU rRNA". It matches the Rfam family "Bacterial small subunit ribosomal RNA", at positions 524 to 898 of the family's 1533-position model. The record is from RNAcentral.
GACGAACCGUGCGAACGUUAUUCGGAAUCACUGGGCUUAAAGCGCGUGUAGGCGGGCCGCCCCGUCGGCUGCUGAAAUCCCCCGGCUCAACCGGGGAAGUGGCACCGAUACGAGCGGCCUCGAGGGGGGUAGGGGGGUCUGGAACUUCCGGUGGAGCGGUGAAAUGCGUUGAGAUCGGAAGGAACGCCCGUGGCGAAAGCGAGGCCCUGGACCCUUACUGACGCUGAGACGCGAAAGCCAGGGGAGCGAACGGGAUUAGAUACCCCGGUAGUCCUGGCCGUAAACGAUGAACACUGGGUAGGGGGCUCGCCGAUGGGCUCCCUGCCGUAGGGAAACCGUGAAGUGUUCCGCCUGGGGAGUAUGGUCGCAAGGCUGAA